Molecule: ribosomal RNA, 660 nt
Filed under: Alcaligenes sp. PS-P2a
Lineage: Bacteria; Pseudomonadati; Pseudomonadota; Betaproteobacteria; Burkholderiales; Alcaligenaceae
Description: bacterial SSU rRNA
Rfam family: Bacterial small subunit ribosomal RNA
Source: RNAcentral
GGGGGAUUUUUUCGGAACCUCUCANUAUUGGAGCGGCCGAUAUCGGAUUAGCUAGUUGGUGGGGUAAAGGCUCACCAAGGCAACGAUCCGUAGCUGGUUUGAGAGGACGACCAGCCACACUGGGACUGAGACACGGCCCAGACUCCUACGGGAGGCAGCAGUGGGGAAUUUUGGACAAUGGGGGAAACCCUGAUCCAGCCAUCCCGCGUGUAUGAUGAAGGCCUUCGGGUUGUAAAGUACUUUUGGCAGAGAAGAAAAGGUAUCUCCUAAUACGAGAUACUGCUGACGGUAUCUGCAGAAUAAGCACCGGCUAACUACGUGCCAGCAGCCGCGGUAAUACGUAGGGUGCAAGCGUUAAUCGGAAUUACUGGGCGUAAAGCGUGUGUAGGCGGUUCGGAAAGAAAGAUGUGAAAUCCCAGGGCUCAACCUUGGAACUGCAUUUUUAACUGCCGAGCUANAGUAUGUCAGAGGGGGGUAGAAUUCCACGUGUANCAGUGAAAUGCGUANAUAUGUGGAGGAAUACCGAUGGCGAAGGCAGCCCCCUGGGAUAAUACUGACGCUCACACACGAAAGCGUGGGGAGCAAACAGGAUUANAUACCCUGGUAGUCCNCNCCCUAAACNAUGUCNACUANCUGUUGGGGCCGUUAGGCCUNANUAAC